CAAAUUCCUAACCGGUGUGUACGCGUUCAUGUUUUGUAAGGCUAAUUUUUUUAAAAAGUCUUUUUUUUCAACUUCUAUCGCAGACUCAAAAUAAUUACCUGCCACUUUAACAACCGUUUCUCUUAUACUAAAAUGCAAUACCAAAUGAUGAAACUGACGAACGUCCCACGUUAAGUGCUCAAGUAUUUUUGGAAAAAAUAUUUGAUGGUAGAAAAUUUCCCCACAAAACCAUUCCAACAUGCGAUAGUGAAGACCUUCUUUUAAUGAAUGAAUUCGCUAGAACGAAGGAUCCACAAAUAGAAAAAUUUGAAACAAAAAGAGAUGCAUACGUUGCAGAAUUAAUAGCAAGUCCAGAAUUCGAUGGUUUGAGGAAAAGAUUUGCAAAUAAAUUUCAGCUUGACUUGGACGUGGUUGACUACAGUAAUGUUACGAGCCGAUGAAGAUUAUUGGGCUUUGUUUACUGCCAGUGACAAUAUUUACAACGCACAACUUGCUUGCGGUAUGAUAGAGCAUAUUGCAUGUUUUUCGAAG
Long non-coding RNA from Adelges cooleyi (spruce gall adelgid), 531 nucleotides. RefSeq lists it as uncharacterized. Lineage: Eukaryota; Metazoa; Arthropoda; Insecta; Hemiptera; Adelgidae. The record is from RefSeq and is a predicted model, not a curated record. The transcript has 3 exons.